Erinaceus europaeus (western European hedgehog) is the source of this 495-nucleotide long non-coding RNA. RefSeq lists it as uncharacterized. The record is from RefSeq and is a predicted model, not a curated record. NCBI's taxonomy places the organism in Eukaryota, Metazoa, Chordata, Mammalia, Eulipotyphla, Erinaceidae. The transcript is spliced from 3 exons.
GAGCUCCAGCUGAUCUCUGUCCUGCGUCUUCCACAGCCAUCUCCAGUGUGUCCACAGCAAGCACUGCAGAACAUCUUCAUUCAGGACUGCAGCAGCAGAAAGGGAUCACGGAAAAGGGGGCUGCAGAGACGAUGGUGAGGUCGGCACCACUCCAUGUUCAAAGGAGCGAGCAGCUUGCAGGUGUCCGGAACCCAGGGGCCUGGUGGCAGACGUCUGUGAGGUCUCCGUUGACAGACCCCGCAGGCCGGGGCAGCCCGUGCCAUCCCUGAGCCAGCUUUCCGGGAGCGACCACAGAAUGCCUCCGGGCACCCCAGGGCAGUCAGGGGGUCUCCCUGUCAUAUGCCACUUUACUCCUAAUGAAAAAAAAGAAGGAAAGACACAGGAAACAGAAAUGCUAUACAGGUGUGGUCCGGGAGGUGGCGCAGUGGAUACAGCAUUGGACUCUCAAGCAUGAGGUCCUGAGUUUGAUCCCCGGCAACACAUGUACCAGGGCGA